Molecule: long non-coding RNA, 737 nt
Organism: Nematostella vectensis (starlet sea anemone)
Lineage: Eukaryota; Metazoa; Cnidaria; Anthozoa; Actiniaria; Edwardsiidae
Exons: 2
Source: RefSeq, a predicted model, not a curated record
CGUUGUAUACGAAAUUCUCAGUGUUUGCCGCUCUAAUAUGCGAAAUUGCGCCUGCAUAAUGGGAAUUGCCCAGCUGACUUCGUCCAUAAACUGUCAAGCUUCAGUCAAUAGGUCCAUUAGAUCCAAGAGCAGUAAUUGAAAAUAAAUAACAAAAUGGAAUUUUCACUCACUUCCCUGCUCUAUAAAAACACCUCAAAUUAAGUUUGAAAGCACACUGUUUCUAGAUUCGCUUUCGCGCACAGGUCGUACCAUCUUCGCGAUUUAAACUCAUCUCUUCAAUAUGAAGGCUGCUUUCGUCGUCCUAGUUCUUCUUGUUGUCGCCCUUUAUCCACAAGACUCUGCGGGCUUUACUGCUGGCAUUGGAAACGUUGGGAAACGAGAACUUAACAGAUCCGAGAGAUCAGCUUUCAACAACCUCUGCCGAAUUGCCAUGGAAACCUGCAUGGGAUCUGCCAAGCGCGAUGAAAUUCUCAAUCGGAAGUGAAUCAACCAGAAGUGGACCACUGAAUAUCUUGAACAGAAAUAACAGUUAUAGGCCGCCUUGCGAAUGUCUCAAACUACUCGACGACACAUGGCAGCGAUUUAUUUUAGAGCAGAGAAAAAACAAGGACGAGUUAUAUUUCCAUAUAUGCAAAUUUGACAAGUGCAUUUGAUGAGCCCGCUAAAUAUUGCGAUUUGUUGACAAUUUUUAUUUAGAUGUGUACAGAUAUUCAAUAAAUUAUAACAUGGCCAGUUGA